This 596-nucleotide ribosomal RNA is filed under the name uncultured bacterium. RNAcentral describes it as "bacterial SSU rRNA". It matches the Rfam family "Bacterial small subunit ribosomal RNA", at positions 202 to 799 of the family's 1533-position model. The record is from RNAcentral.
UAAAGAAUUUCGGUCAUCGAUGGGGAUGCGUUCCAUUAGCUUGUUGGCGGGGUAACGGCCCACCAAGGCAUCGAUGGAUAGGGGUUCUGAGAGGAAGGUCCCCCACAUUGGAACUGAGACACGGUCCAAACUCCUACGGGAGGCAGCAGUGAGGAAUAUUGGUCAAUGGGCGCUAGCCUGAACCAGCCAAGUAGCGUGAAGGAUGACUGCCCUAUGGGUUGUAAACUUCUUUUAUAUGGGAAUAAAGUGCAGUAUGUAUACUGCUUUGCAUGUACCUUAUGAAUAAGGAUCGGCUAACUCCGUGCCAGCAGCCGCGGUAAUACGGAGGAUCCGAGCGUUAUCCGGAUUUAUUGGGUUUAAAGGGAGCGUAGGCGGGUUGUUAAGUCAGUUGUGAAAGUUUGCGGCUCAACCGUAAAAUUGCAGUUGAUACUGGCAUCCUUGAGUACAGUAGAGGUAGGCGGAAUUCGUGGUGUAGCGGUGAAAUGCUUAGAUAUCACGAAGAACUCCGAUUGCGAAGGCAGCCUGCUGGACUGUAACUGACGCUGAUGCUCGAAAGUGUGGGUAUCAAACAGGAUUAGAUACCCUGGUAGUCCACA